UCAUGUGUUAAAAAAUUAAUCCAUCUCAUUAUGUUAUGUCAUCAUCAAAAUGCCAUAUCAUCCAAAUUAAGGCUCGAUGAGGGGCUCGCGUCUGAUUAGUUAGUUGGUGAGGCAAUAGCUUACAAAUUUUAAUAUCAUUCUUAGUUGUUUGUAAAGUAAUUUUUAAUAAAAAUGUAACUUUAAAUUCUUUAAAAUUGAGAUAGAUGGAUAACAUUGACAAAUUAAAAAAGUAAAAGCAUCAAAUUCAAAUUUUAACUAAUUUUUGCCUGAUGGCUAAAAAAAUUUAGAAAUACAUGUAAAGUGAAAGUUAGAAUCUCAUAAUCCCCAUCCUCUAUCCCUUAUUCAAUAUAUCGAAUAU
This 358-nucleotide long non-coding RNA is filed under the name Durio zibethinus. RNAcentral's name for it is "long non-coding RNA (DZIB_LNC001706)". The record is from RNAcentral. Lineage: Eukaryota; Viridiplantae; Streptophyta; Magnoliopsida; Malvales; Malvaceae.